This is a non-coding RNA of Dermatophagoides farinae (American house dust mite), 5095 nucleotides long. The record is from RefSeq and is a predicted model, not a curated record. NCBI's taxonomy places the organism in Eukaryota, Metazoa, Arthropoda, Arachnida, Sarcoptiformes, Pyroglyphidae.
AUGAGACCACAUUGUUCGCAUUGAGGUAAUUGACUCGCAAACAAUUUGUAUUGUGUAUACGGAAUGAUUUGUUUAGGUCUAGAAUGUUUUUGCCGCCUAAAUUUUGAAAUGUCAGCCUGAUUAUCAUUGUGACCGAAUUGAUUCACAGAUUAUCAUAAAGAAUGCAUCUCUACAAUUUGACAUUACAACGUGCCACUCAUAUUUCUUUGGCUGUUCAUGGAAACUUUGCCGGCACUAAACAGCAAGAAAUUGCUUUGGCCAAAGGCCGAAUACUGGAACUUGUACGUCCAGAUCCUAGUACUGGUAAAGUAUAUUCACUUCUAUCCAUUGACAUUUUCGGUGUCAUUCGUUCGAUGAUUGCUUUUCGUUUGACUGGUGGUUCAAAAGAUUAUUUGCUCGUCGGUUCUGAUUCAGGCCGUAUUGUCAUUCUUGAAUACAUUCCGGCAAAAAAUUGUUUCGAUAAGGUUCAUCAAGAAACAUUUGGUAAAAGUGGCUGUCGCCGUAUUGUUCCUGGUCAAUAUUUAGCUAUUGAUCCAAAAGGUCGUGCAGUCAUGAUAAGUGCUGUUGAAAAGCAAAAGUUAGUAUACAUUCUUAAUCGAGAUGCCACGGCUCGACUUACAAUUUCUUCACCUCUUGAAGCUCAUAAAUCUAACACAUUCGUUUAUCAUACUGUUGGCGUGGAUGUUGGAUUUGAAAAUCCAAUGUUUGCUUGUCUUGAAAUGGAUUAUGAAGAUGUUGAUAUUGAUCAUACGGGAGAAACAGCACAACAAACACAACAACAAUUAACAUUUUAUGAACUUGAUCUUGGUCUCAAUCAUGUUGUUAGAAAAUAUAGUGAAAAUCUUGAAGAACAUGGAAAUUUUCUCAUAUCUGUACCGGGUGGAACUGAUGGGCCAUCAGGUGUAUUAAUCUGUUCGGAAAAUUAUAUAACUUAUAAAAAUUUCGGUGACCAGCCAGAUAUUCGCUGUCCAAUACCUCGAAGACGUUAUGAUCUCGAUGAUCCUGAUCGAGGAAUGAUUUUCGUUUGCAGUGCAUCUCAUAAGACCAAAUCCAUGUUUUUCUUCCUAGUACAAAGUGAACAGGGCGAUAUAUUCAAAAUUACUCUUGAAGUUGAUGAUGAUAUUGUUACCGAAGUUAAAAUCAAAUAUUUUGACACUGUUCCUGUUGCCACCAGUUUAUGUGUGCUUCGUACUGGAUUCUUGUUUGUUGCUUCAGAAUUUGGCAAUCAUUAUUUGUAUCAAAUUGUUCAUCUUGGUGACAAUGAUAAUGAGCCUGAAUUCAGUAGUUCAAUGCCUUUGAAUGAAGGUGAAACUUUUUAUUUCACACCUCGAAGUUUAAAAAAUUUGGUCCUGGUCGAUGAAACAGAAUCACUGUCACCAAUCAUGCACUGUCAGAUAGCUGAUGUUGCCAACGAAGAAACUCCACAAUUAUUGAUGGCUUGUGGACGUGGACCUCGUUCUACUUUUCGACUAUUGCGUCAUGGUUUGGAAGUGUCUGAGAUGGCUGUUUCAGAAUUACCCGCCAAUCCAAAUGCCGUUUGGACGGUUAAAAAACGUAGCGAAGAUAAAUAUGAUGCCUACAUUAUUGUCUCGUUUGUCAAUGCAACGCUUGUUCUUUCGAUUGGUGAAACUGUUGAAGAAAUUACAGAUUCAGGAUUUCUAGGCUCUACACAAACAAUCAAUUGUGCUCAGAUUGGUGAAGAUGCAUUAGUUCAAGUAUAUCCUGAUGGUAUUCGACAUAUUCGUGCCGAUAAACGUGUGAAUGAAUGGCGUGCACCAGGACGUAAGCAAAUCGUACGCUGUGCCAUAAAUUCCCGUCAAGUGGUAAUUGCAUUAGGCGGAGGAGAAAUCGUUUACUUUGAAAUGGAUCUCGGUGGCCAAUUAAAUGAAUACACAGAACGCAAAGAUAUGAAUUCAGAGGUGAUUUGUAUGGCUUUGGGCGAUGUACCAACUGGUGAACAACGUUGCCGUUUCUUGGCAAUUGGUUUGGCAGACAAUACUGUUCGUAUUAUCUCUUUGGAUCCAUUGGAAUGUUUAACGCCAUUGUCAUUACAAGGUCUUCCAGCCAGACCUGAAUCAUUGUCAAUCGUACAAAUGGGAUUGAUGAAAUCUGAUGAAAAAUCCAAGGGGAAAUUGUACUUAAAUGUUGGCCUUCAGAAUGGAGUUCAUUUGCGUACCGUUUUGGAUGAAAAUAACGGUACACUAUCAGACCCUCAAACUCGUUAUCUCGGUAGUCGUCCCAUUAAAUUGUUUCAAGUUUGUAUGCAAGGCAAAGAAUCAUUGCUUGCAUUGUCCAGCCGUACUUGGCUCUGUUAUUAUUAUCAAAAUCGUUUUCAUUUGACUCCUCUUUCAUAUGAACCAUUGGAAUAUGCUUCUGGUUUUUCUUCUGAACAAUGUCCAGAAGGAAUUGUAGCUAUUUCACACAAUACUUUGCGUAUAUUGGCCUUAGAAAAUCUGGGAAAUGUAUUCAAUCAACAUUUAGUCGAAUUGGAAUAUACGCCAAGAAAAUUUGCCAUACAUCCUGAAACUUAUUACGUUGUAAUGAUUGAAACUGAUCAUAAUGCAUUGACACCAGCUUCAAAAACAGUUCGUAAACAACAAUUGGCACAAGAAAUGAUUGAUUCUGCACCUGCUGAUGAGAAACAACAUGUUUCUGAAAUGGCUGCAGCAUUUCUUAAAGAAAAUCUUCCGGAAAAUGUGUUUGGGGCACCUAAACCUGGCCCUGAUACAUGGGCAUCGUUGAUUCGAGUUUUUAAUCCAGUCAAUGGCAAAACACUACAUAAAUUUUCUCUGGAACAAAAUGAAGCCGCAUUUAGUAUGACUUUAUGCCGUUUUACAAACGAUCCCGAAGGAUAUUAUAUUUUAGUUGGUGUUGCAAGUAGAUUACGAUUAUUAGACAGACAACAUUCUGGUUGUGAAAUUCAUACGUAUAAAUUUGAAACCGAUCUUGAACAUUUAACUUUAGUACAUAAAACACCAGUCGAAGAUGUUCCAAGAGCUAUGGCUCAAUUUCAAGGAAAAGUUGUUAUAGGCGUUGGAAAACUUUUACGAAUUUAUGAUCUGGGAAAAAAGAAAUUACUGAAAAAAUGCGAAAACAAAACCAUACAGAAUUUUAUCGUUACCAUCAAUACAAUGGGCAAUCGUAUCUAUGUUUCUGAUGUACAGGAAAGCUAUUACUUUGUUCGGUACAAGCGAUCGGAAAAUCAAUUAAUUGUAUUCGCCGAUGAUGUUUUCCCACGUUGGGUGACCUGUACAUGUAUACUUGAUUAUGAUACGAUUGUUUGUGCUGACAAAUUCGGCAACGUAUCGAUCAUUCGACUACCGGCAGAUGUCAAUGAUGAAAUUGAUGAUGAUCCUACCGGAUUGAAAUCUCUUUGGGAUCGUGGAUGGCUUGGUGGUGCAUCACAAAAAGCGGAAACAAUUUGUAAUUUUCAUAUUGGUGAUCUGGUACUUUCAUUGAACAAAGCAACAUUGAUACCGGGAUUUUCCGAAGCAUUAGUUUAUACGACAAUUUCAGGCGCCGUUGGUGUAUUGGUUCCAUUCACAUCACACGAACAAUUGGAUUUUUUUCAACAUCUUGAAAUGUAUAUGCGUUCGGAAAAUGCACCACUAUGUGGUCGUGAUCAUCUUGCUUAUAGGUCAUUUUAUUUUCCAGUGAAAAAUAUCAUCGAUGGUGAUCUCUGUGAACAAUUCAAUUCAAUGGAUUUUAGCAAACAGAAAAGCAUUGCCGAAGAUUUAGACUUUUCACCAGCAGAGGUGUCGAAAAAAUUGGAGGACAUGAGAACACAAUAUGCAUUCUAAAACAUAGAAUAAUGUUUAAUAAUUGUGACAAUCGCUCCAUACAUUGUCAUUCACGACAAUUACGUACCUAAGAAUUUUCAUUUCUAUUAUUUCAUCGUUUUUUGUAAAUAUUUGAUCAUGAUUUUAUUCGAAUAUCUGAUAAAGAAGAAGAAAUAAUUAUCAAUUUAAUGAUAUUUGUUUAUAUCAAAGAAUUCAAACCAAUCGAAUCGACCAGCAUCAUCAAUGACAGUUUUUUUUAUCUCACUUAUUAUUGUACUAAUAAUCACAAUUGUUUAUUAUGGCAAUGAUUAUUUGGUAUCAAAAAAAAAAAAAAAAAUUCACAAUGUUCAUUAACAUAAUAAAAUUUCUUUUUAUAAAUGAAAUCUAAAUCUCGCCGAUCAUUUAUGUGACGAUAUUUUUUUUUAUUAUUGAUAUCAAGAAUGAUCUGCCAUUCGAUAUAUAGAGAUCAUCGACAUCUGAUAACGAAAAUUCUUUGUGACAGUUUUUUUUUGGCCGAUUAUCUAUAUAAAAAUCAAUCCAGAUAAACUUUUUUUGAUGAUGGAAACAUGUCAAUUUAUACGGAUGCAUUAGCCAUGCAAGUUCUAAUAAACGCCUCAAGCAACUAUUAUUAAUACUUAUUUAAUGUACUCGAAACCGUUCAUAUGCAUGCACAGCAUCUGACAAGAUCAUAUUAGUUUUGAUUAACCGGUUUGAAAUAAAUGAACUAAAUUAGAGAAAAAAAAUUUUAGACAAUUUUUAUCUAACAUUGUUUGUGUGUGUGUGUGUGUAUACGCAUAUCACACAUAUACUUUGUUCGAUCGAUAAUCAUUUGAUCAAUAUUUAAUUCGAUUUAAUUGACUGGAACUGACCAGCCAAAUGCCUGCUAACCCUGAUUUACCGAACUUGAUCAAAUCGAAUGAUUACCCAACAUUGAACAAUACGUCCAUCAAUGAAGUUCCUCAUACAAUCGAAAGAGAAAGGAAAAAACAUCACAGUAGAAAAAAAAAUAUUUAAAAAAAACUUUUCGCUAUCAAUUUUUUUUUCUUUAAAAGCCAUAGACCCAUCUAUUCUUUUUCGAUAUGGAUGGAUGAAUGGAUCGUGUAGCAGACGAAUAAAUAUCGAUGCCGAAUGGCUCCACAUAUCAUGUCUAGUGCCUAUUUUUUGUAUUUUCUUUCGUUUGCUUUAGCCAUGAUCUACAUUCCUUAGCUGGAAUGGCGGUCACCGAUUCAAUCAUUCAAUGAUGGUGAUGAUGAGCUAUCCUUAAUGAUGAUAAUACUAUCUAAUAAAUUCUAAACCUUGUAUGUACCGCUACUUGA